AGGACGAACGCUGGCGGCGUGCUUAACACAUGCAAGUCGAGCGGAAAGGCCCUUCGGGGUACUCGAGCGGCGAACGGGUGAGUAACACGUGAGCAACCUGCCCUUAGCUCUGGGAUAGCUCCGGGAAACCGGAAUUAAUACCGGAUAUUACACCGGCUGGCAUCGGCUGGUGUGGAAAGAUUUAUCGGCUAAGGAUGGACUCGCGGCCUAUCAGCUUGUUGGUGGGGUAGAAGCCUACCAAGGCGACG
This 248-nucleotide ribosomal RNA is filed under the name uncultured bacterium. RNAcentral describes it as "partial small subunit ribosomal RNA". It matches the Rfam family "Bacterial small subunit ribosomal RNA", at positions 26 to 278 of the family's 1533-position model. The record is from RNAcentral.